CUACACCAUUACAUAUCUCUACUAUUAAAGGAGAAUUUGACAAGUAAUCAAGCAAGUCAGCACUGUCGUCGAUGGAAGUUGUCGUGCGGAGAUGGAAGUUGACAAGUAAGUUUCUCCAUGAAGUUGAUCUGAUGCGAAGCUUGUGCCAGAUAAAAGGUUAAUUGAGUUCUCAUCUCCAAUAUGUUUGCAUUCUAACUAUCCUUGUUGAUUCAGUGGUUCCAUGAUGCUACAUUUCACUUGUUUUUCACCUCUUGAUGCUACUAUGGACGGAAGGCGUUUGCUAAUUUGCACAUUAAUUUUUUUUCUGAUAAAAUGUGCCAAUAUCACCUGCAUUAUGCUUUUUAAAUUAUUAAUCCCUGCUAUAAUGUAACGUGCCCACAUAACAAGUAUUCCGCAAUCUUCGCAAGCAUGUAUUUGUUUGUCUAACUGUAGGUGAAAGAACAAGAUCCACUGUGUGUGCAACGGCAACAAUAAAUAUCAUGUCAUUAGGGAGACUUCUGAUAAUUCUACUCUGCAUUUUUUUUCUUUAGUAGAAGUGUUCUGCCGCAUUAUUCAACUAUGUGUGACCAAUCUGACACACCUCACGAGUUCUAUAUAUAUAUAUAUAUGGACUGAGCAAUUGAUUCAGGUCUUUUUUCAAGUGGGGAUGCAGAUUGGGCAUCAAGGUGUACGACAGAGGAUGACAAACGAUUACGUUCUGCACGUUAGUCCGCGUACAACUUAAAAGUUGAUUGAUACUUUUCAUUUUAUAUUGAUGGUCCCUCCAGCGAGAACAAUUUUUUGACUCGAUGUGUAGAUAUGCUCUUUUAUUUGUGCGAAGUUGUUCAGACUUUUCUUUGAUUCAUUAUUUUAGCUGCAUACAAAAGGAGUAUGAGUACUGUUUGGUUCCAUGCAGGACCAACCAAGGAAGAGAAGCAAAUCACAACCCUUUAGUUCAUGGUCUAGGAGCAGGAAGAUACACAUCCAUCUUUGUGAUAUUCUGGUAUGAAUAUGCAUGGUACUACGUACAGAAUCCCUCAAUUGUGUAGAUAGGUCAUCAAGUAAUAGUUAGUAAUUCAUACUUCUGCUUCACCUUUUAGUUAAUUAUCCGCUUUCAAGUAUUUGUUGCCGAAGUGAGCAUCUAAUUGCAGGAAUUCUGUGAGGUAACCAUCUCAAUCUUUUUGUCACAAGGCUCUUGCGCGGUAGAGAUUUUUGCUUGGUCAUAAAUGAAUUAGUUCCAUUCUUUGACAGUAAGAGAAUGGAGCCAGAUGGAGGAACAUCAGCAUUGAUGCCAACAUUUCCAUUCUCUUGUUGUAGUAGUGUCUUAAUUGGAAGAAUAUUUUGAUGAUGUUGAUUGCUUUCUAUUCUCAUCUUUUCAUUAUUUUAGAUCACUUUCUCGAUAGUUCAAUACUAUAUUUUUGGGAUUAACUGUAACAUUAUGUGAAUAUAUGUU
RNAcentral lists this long non-coding RNA (1432 nucleotides) under Triticum aestivum (bread wheat). Its description in RNAcentral is "long non-coding RNA (TAES_LNC017660)". Lineage: Eukaryota; Viridiplantae; Streptophyta; Magnoliopsida; Poales; Poaceae. The record is from RNAcentral.